Mercenaria mercenaria is the source of this 72-nucleotide non-coding RNA. The record is from the annotation of a RefSeq genome assembly. NCBI's taxonomy places the organism in Eukaryota, Metazoa, Mollusca, Bivalvia, Venerida, Veneridae.
GUUGUCGUUGCCGAGUGGUUAAGGCGACGGACUAGAAAUCUUCCCGCGCAGGUUCGAAUCCUGCCGACAACG